GGAGAGAAGUUGGAAAUUUUGAAGGGGUUAUUAUAUAAAUGAUCGUAUUCUUUUUUUUUUCUUCAUUUAAUUCAUUAAUUAAAAUGUGGGGUUGUGAGGAUUAGCAUUUGAAAAGUUAUCCUAAAUAUUUGAAGACGUGGGGCUGUUGGUUGGCCAUUUUCUCAAGGUUUGUAAUUAUCUUUUUUACACACUCAAGGUUUGUAAUUGUUAUUUGAUAAUUAAUUAUUAUUUUAUAAAUUUAUUGUGGAUAAUUAAUUUUAAAUAAAUAUAAGAAGUUAUUGGAAGAAAGUUAAUUUUUACUAAAUAACUAAUAAAGUUUAAUAAAUAUCAUAAAUUAUUACCACUAACUAGACAUCUUUUAUUUCAAUUAAUAAAAUAUUAGUACUUUUUAAAAAUAAUAAAUUUUAACAUUUUUUAUUCCUAAUAAAAUUCAACUAACUUUUUUUUUACUUAUUUAGUAUAUUUUUUUUCUCUUUUUUCGCUAAAAUUAGGCAUAAUUUUCAGAAUUUUUUUUUAAAUAUCCAAAAAUUUAAAAAAAAAAUCAAAAAUACACCACUUUUCAAAAUAAUUACACAAAUGGCCAUUUUUGGCCAAAAUUAACACCUAGGCGCCACCCUAGUUGGCGCCUACCCUUAAUGGGUAGGGC
RNAcentral lists this long non-coding RNA (646 nucleotides) under Lathyrus oleraceus (garden pea). RNAcentral describes it as "Pisum sativum (pea) long non-coding RNA (PSAT_LNC018858)". Lineage: Eukaryota; Viridiplantae; Streptophyta; Magnoliopsida; Fabales; Fabaceae. The record is from RNAcentral.